This 63-nucleotide transfer RNA is filed under the name Pseudophyllus titan. RNAcentral describes it as "tRNA-Leu". Lineage: Eukaryota; Metazoa; Arthropoda; Insecta; Orthoptera; Tettigoniidae. The record is from RNAcentral.
UCUAAUAUGGCAGAAUAGUGCCUUAGAUUUAAGCUCUAAAUAUAAAGAAUCCUUUUAUUAGAA